RNAcentral lists this unclassified non-coding RNA (228 nucleotides) under plant metagenome. RNAcentral's name for it is "partial contains small subunit ribosomal RNA, internal transcribed spacer 1, and 5.8S ribosomal RNA". The record is from RNAcentral.
UCUCCGUAGGUGAACCUGCGGAGGGAUCAUUACAGAGUUCAUGCCCUACCGGGUAGAUCUCCCACCCUAUGUUAUUAUUACUUUGUUGCUUUGGCGGGCCGUUAGGCUCCGGCCCGACUACCGGCCCCGGCUGGUAGCGCCCGCCAGAGGACCCAAAACCCUGAAUAUUAGUGUCGUCUGAGUACUAUAUAAUAGUUAAAACUUUCAACAACAGAUCUCUUGGUUCUG